This 453-nucleotide ribosomal RNA is filed under the name uncultured Bacteroidales bacterium. RNAcentral's name for it is "bacterial SSU rRNA". It matches the Rfam family "Bacterial small subunit ribosomal RNA", at positions 917 to 1370 of the family's 1533-position model. The record is from RNAcentral. Lineage: Bacteria; Pseudomonadati; Bacteroidota; Bacteroidia; Bacteroidales.
GGGCCCGCACAAGCGGAGGAACAUGUGGUUUAAUUCGAUGAUACGCGAGGAACCUUACCCGGGCUUGAAAUGCAUCUGGCGUCCCGAGAGAUCGGGAUUUCCUUCGGGACAGAUGUGUAGGUGCUGCAUGGUUGUCGUCAGCUCGUGCCGUGAGGUGUCGGCUUAAGUGCCAUAACGAGCGCAACCCUCAUCGUUAGUUGCCAUCAGGUAGUGCUGGGGACUCUAACGAGACUGCCAUCGUAAGAUGCGAGGAAGGUGGGGAUGACGUCAAAUCAGCACGGCCCUUACGUCCGGGGCGACACACGUGUUACAAUGGGAGGUACAAAGGGUUGCUACCUGGUGACAGGAUGCUAAUCUCAAAAACCUCUCUCAGUUCGGAUUGGAGUCUGCAACUCGACUCCAUGAAGCUGGAUUCGCUAGUAAUCGCACAUCAGCCACGGUGCGGUGAAUACG